AGGUCUUGACAUCCUCUGACAAUCCUAGAGAUAGGACGUCCCCUUCGGGGGCAGAGUGACAGGUGGUGCAUGGUUGUCGUCAGCUCGCGUCGUGAGAUGUUGGGUUAAGUCCCGCAACGAGCGCAACCCUUGAUCUUAGUUGCCAGCAUUCAGUUGGGCACUCUAAGGUGACUGCCGGUGACAAACCGGAGGAAGGUGGGGAUGACGUUUACGUGCACUU
This 220-nucleotide unclassified non-coding RNA is filed under the name Bacillus sp. (in: firmicutes). RNAcentral describes it as "Bacillus sp. (in: Bacteria) contains 16S-23S intergenic spacer region". It matches the Rfam family "Bacterial small subunit ribosomal RNA", at positions 977 to 1198 of the family's 1533-position model. The record is from RNAcentral. Lineage: Bacteria; Bacillati; Bacillota; Bacilli; Caryophanales; Bacillaceae.